AUAAAGAGAAGAGUGUGUUAAUCUAGAGCAGUGGUAAUUCAGAUAGGGUGUUAUCUUGUGGAGUUUGAUAAGCGGUGGCCUAGUUUUUGGAUGGAGUAGAGUCGAGUGUGCAUGGGCACGGGUCGGAUAGUGAUGCAGCUGCGGAUGGAGCAAGGAGGAUACGAGGGGAUCAACGCAAGGACUCUCUCUCUCUGAAAAGGCGACCCUGUUGCUUCCUUUUUUCAGCACCUGGUGUUUUUCUCUCUCUCUGUAGAAAAUCAGAGUGUGGGAAAGACGACUCUGCAGAUGUGUAGGAAUCAACAAGUUCUGAGGACACGCUUCUUCUUCUGCUGACCACCAACUUCCGGUUUUGGAGAUGGGAAAAGAUGUGGAGUGGUGACCAUGUGGAACCAGCAAGACUUUUGGAAAGAGAGGAGAUGGAAGCGUGCCUUCUUCUUUGGAGAUAUUUUGUGACCCAUUUGAGAGAGAUUCAACCACCCACAGCAUUUGAUAGAAUUGCACCCAUUGAAAAUUGUCACAUUUACGAUCGUGUCACCUUUUCUCUCCGUGUCCAUCAGGUGGGACGUGGGGGAGCGAGUGGAGCGAGGGGUCCAUUUUUGAUCUCCAACGACUUUGGUGGUGGUAAUUAGCGAAAAUUGGUAAUUAAGAUAUUAUAUAGGAUACAGACUGCCUGUCGCCUUUGAUUUGAGAGUGUGUGUGGUGUGGAGAAGCAGGCGGCGGCGGCCCGCCCUUUGAGUUCUGGAGGUGAGAAAUAAUGGGAAUUGAGAAAUGUGGUGAUUGAGAUGGGAAUUAACUACCCGGUGGGGUUUUAUCCGUGAAGGGGUGAUGGUCACGAGUAAAAUCGGCGGAGAGUAGUGGUAGAAGCACAUUUUGAUUAGUAUAGUGGGUGGAUAGCUAAUUAUUGCGGUAAUUUGAUUGUCUCUCUCUCUCUGAUAAUUGAGUGGUUUGAGACGAUUGUGUGGAGUGACACAGAGCCUGCACACCGCACACCCAGCGCCGGCUGCUGGUCGUCAUGACAAUUUAUUUAACUCUCUCCACUAUAGAUGGCUCUCUCGUUUAAUAAACAAUUUUUAUUUUCGUAAUUUCUCAGACAUAUAAUUUAUUGCACAAUAAUAUUAACUAUAAUUAACCCAACUUCCCCCCGCCCUGCCGUUUAUAACUCUGCUCCACCUGUUUAAACAGCUCAUCAAACUCCUCCCUAAGAUAUUUAUUAAUCCUGUUUAUCGCCUCCUGAUCCGGAACAAUGUCUUUGUUCGCAUACAGCGUUAUCGUAGCCGUGGACUGGUGGGUGUACACUGCGGUGGCGAUCGCUAAAAAAAUUUUUAAAAAAAUUUAAAUUUCCCUCCACAAA
Long non-coding RNA from Folsomia candida, 1351 nucleotides. RefSeq lists it as uncharacterized. The transcript has 3 exons. Lineage: Eukaryota; Metazoa; Arthropoda; Collembola; Entomobryomorpha; Isotomidae. The record is from RefSeq and is a predicted model, not a curated record.